GAUCUACAUUUCUAGAAGCAUCCUCCUGAACAGAAACCCCAGAUCUGCCCUGGGUCAGCAUCUUGCUUGGCUUCAUAGCUGGUGUUCUCGCCUUCUUUGCCUCAGAUUGCCGACCUGUUCAGUGAGGAGUGAGUUCCUAAGCUAUACUCAUGAAGACUCACUGGACUCCCUCAUGCUCACACUAAAGAGGGGAGCCGAGUCUGUCGUAGUCAUCAAAGCCAGAGGAGACAGAGGCAGUCAGGAGAGGUAGCCAAGGCCAGCGCUCCCUGAGCCCCAUGUUCUCACUGAUCUCAAGGCUGGAACUAAAGGCAUAGCCUUGGAGCUGAACUUGAAGAUGCCCAGAGGAGUUCAUGGAGAGAGCAGGCUGGCAUCGAGUGGACAGAGGAGCCUGAAUCGAA
This 398-nucleotide long non-coding RNA is filed under the name Rattus norvegicus (Norway rat). Its description in RNAcentral is "long non-coding RNA NONRATT033274". Lineage: Eukaryota; Metazoa; Chordata; Mammalia; Rodentia; Muridae. The record is from RNAcentral.